Molecule: ribosomal RNA, 1336 nt
Filed under: Staphylococcus haemolyticus
Lineage: Bacteria; Bacillati; Bacillota; Bacilli; Caryophanales; Staphylococcaceae
Description: bacterial SSU rRNA
Rfam family: Bacterial small subunit ribosomal RNA
Source: RNAcentral
CGUUAACGGUGGACGGGUGAGUAACACGUGGGUAACCUACCUAUAAGACUGGGAUAACUUCGGGAAACCGGAGCUAAUACCGGAUAAUAUUUCGAACCGCAUGGUUCGAUAGUGAAAGAUGGUUUUGCUAUCACUUAUAGAUGGACCCGCGCCGUAUUAGCUAGUUGGUAAGGUAACGGCUUACCAAGGCGACGAUACGUAGCCGACCUGAGAGGGUGAUCGGCCACACUGGAACUGAGACACGGUCCAGACUCCUACGGGAGGCAGCAGUAGGGAAUCUUCCGCAAUGGGCGAAAGCCUGACGGAGCAACGCCGCGUGAGUGAUGAAGGUCUUCGGAUCGUAAAACUCUGUUAUUAGGGAAGAACAUACGUGUAAGUAACUAUGCACGUCUUGACGGUACCUAAUCAGAAAGCCACGGCUAACUACGUGCCAGCAGCCGCGGUAAUACGUAGGUGGCAAGCGUUAUCCGGAAUUAUUGGGCGUAAAGCGCGCGUAGGCGGUUUUUUAAGUCUGAUGUGAAAGCCCACGGCUCAACCGUGGAGGGUCAUUGGAAACUGGAAAACUUGAGUGCAGAAGAGGAAAGUGGAAUUCCAUGUGUAGCGGUGAAAUGCGCAGAGAUAUGGAGGAACACCAGUGGCGAAGGCGACUUUCUGGUCUGUAACUGACGCUGAUGUGCGAAAGCGUGGGGAUCAAACAGGAUUAGAUACCCUGGUAGUCCACGCCGUAAACGAUGAGUGCUAAGUGUUAGGGGGUUUCCGCCCCUUAGUGCUGCAGCUAACGCAUUAAGCACUCCGCCUGGGGAGUACGACCGCAAGGUUGAAACUCAAAGGAAUUGACGGGACCCGCACAAGCGGUGGAGCAUGUGGUUUAAUUCGAAGCAACGCGAAGAACCUUACCAAAUCUGACAUCCUUUGACACUCUAGAGAUAGAGCCUUCCCCUUCGGGGGACAAAGUGACAGGUGGUGCAUGGUUGUCGUCAGCUCGUGUCGUGAGAUGUUGGGUUAAGUCCCGCAACGAGCGCAACCCUUAAGCUUAGUUGCCAUCAUUAAGUUGGGCACUCUAAGUUGACUGCCGGUGACAAACCGGAGGAAGGUGGGGAUGACGUCAAAUCAUCAUGCCCCUUAUGAUUUGGGCUACACACGUGCUACAAUGGACAAUACAAAGGGCAGCGAAACCGCGAGGUCAAGCAAAUCCCAUAAAGUUGUUCUCAGUUCGGAUUGUAGUCUGCAACUCGACUACAUGAAGCUGGAAUCGCUAGUAAUCGUAGAUCAGCAUGCUACGGUGAAUACUUUUCCGUGUCUUGUACACACCGCCCGUCACACCACGAGAUUUGUA